CAGGAGGAUAGCCCGGGGAAACUCGGAUUAAUACUCCAUAUGAUUUUGAUUGGCAUCAAUUAAGAUUGAAAGAUUUAUUGGAUAAGGAUAGGCAUGCGUCAGAUUAGUUAGUUGGUAGUGUAACGGACUGCCAAGGCGAUGAUCUGUAGGGGGCCUGAGAGGGUGAACCCCCACACUGGUACUGAGACACGGACCAGACUCCUACGGGAGGCAGCAGUGAGGAAUAUUGGACAAUGGAGGGAACUCUGAUCCAGCCAUCCCGCGUGCAGGAAGACGGCCCUAUGGGUUGUAAACUGCUUUUGUAUGGGGAUAAAUCUACUUACGUGUAGGUAGUUGAAGGUACCAUACGAAUAAGCAUCGGCUAACUCCGUGCCAGCAGCCGCGGUAAUACGGAGGAUGCAAGCGUUAUCCGGAUUCAUUGGGUUUAAAGGGUCCGUAGGCGGGCUGAUAAGUCAGUGGUGAAAUUUUGUCGCUCAACGAUAAAACUGCCAUUGAUACUGUUAGUCUUGAGUGAUAUUGAAGUAGCUGGAAUGUGUAGUGUAGCGGUGAAAUGCAUAGAUAUUACACAGAACACCGAUUGCGAAGGCAGGUUACUAAGUAUUAACUGACGCUGAAGGACGAAAGCGUGGGGAGCGAACAGGAUUAGAUACCCUGGUAGU
Molecule: ribosomal RNA, 659 nt
Filed under: Ornithobacterium rhinotracheale
Lineage: Bacteria; Pseudomonadati; Bacteroidota; Flavobacteriia; Flavobacteriales; Weeksellaceae
Description: bacterial SSU rRNA
Rfam family: Bacterial small subunit ribosomal RNA
Source: RNAcentral